GGUUAAGUGACUAAGCGUACACGGUGGAUGCCUUGGCAGUUGGAGGCGAUGAAGGACGUACUAACUUGCGAUAAGCUAAGUCAAGCCAGUAAGAGGCACUUGAGACUUAGAUUUCCGAAUGGGGAAACCCACCGCUUAGCGGUAUCUUACAGUGAAUACAUAGCUGUAAGAGGCAAACCGGGAGAACUGAAACAUCUAAGUACCCCGAGGAAAAGAAAUCAACCGAGAUUCCGAAAGUAGCGGCGAGCGAAAUCGGAUUAGCCCUUAAGCUUCAGUGUAAUUAGUGGAACCUUCUGGAAAGUUGGACGACACAGGGUGACAGUCCCGUACACGAAAAUUUAUCUGAAGUGAAAUCGAGUAGGUCGGAGCACGUGAAACUUUGACUGAAUAUGGGGGGACCAUCCUCCAAGGCUAAAUACUCCCAACUGACCGAUAGUGAACCAGUACCGUGAGGGAAAGGCGAAAAGAACCCCUGUGAGGGGAGUGAAAUAGAACCUGAAACCGUGUACGUACAAGCAGUAGGAGCCCUUCGAGGGUGACUGCGUACCUUUUGUAUAAUGGGUCAGCGACUUAUAUUCUGUAGCAAGGUUAACCAUUUAGGGGAGCCGUAGCGAAAGCGAGUCUUAACUGGGCGCUUAAGUUGCAGGGUAUAGACCCGAAACCCGGUGAUCUAGCCAUGGGCAGGUUGAAGGUCAGGUAACACUGACUGGAGGACCGAACCCACUAACGUUGAAAAGUUAGGGGAUGACCUGUGGCUAGGAGUGAAAGGCUAAUCAAACCGGGAGAUAGCUGGUUCUCCCCGAAAUCUAUUUAGGUAGAGCCUCGGACGAAUACUUACGGGGGUAGAGCACUGUUAAGGCUAGGGGGUCAUCCCGACUUACCAACCCUUUGCAAACUCCGAAUACCGUAAAGUAAUAUCCGGGAGACACACGGUGGGUGCUAACGUCCAUCGUGGAGAGGGAAACAACCCAGACCGUCAGCUAAGGUCCCAAAGUGUAUGUUAAGUGGGAAACGAUGUGGGAAGGCUAAAACAGCUAGGAGGUUGGCUUAGAAGCAGCCAUCCUUUAAAGAAAGCGUAAUAGCUCACUAGUCGAGUCGGCCUGCGCGGAAGAUGUAACGGGGCUAAACAUACCACCGAAGCUACGGCUGCAUACAUUAGUAUGCGGGGUAGGGGAGCGUUCUGUAAGUGGCUGAAGGUGUGCCGGGAGGCAUGCUGGACAUAUCAGAAGUGCGAAUGCUGACAUGAGUAACGAUAAUGCGGGUGAAAAACCCGCACGCCGGAAGACCAAGGGUUCCUAUCCCAUGUUAAUCAGGGUAGGGUGAGUCGACCCCUAAGGCGAGGCUGAAGAGCGUAGUCGAUGGGAAACGGGUUAAUAUUCCCGUACUUGGUAUAAAUGCGAUGGGGGGACGGAGCAGGCUAGGCAAGCAUGGCGUUGGUUGUCCAUGUGAAAGGCUGUAGGCUGGUGACUUAGGAAAAUCCGGGUCGCUAAGGCUGAGAGUCGAGACGAGCCACUACGGUGGUGAAGUUGUUGAUGCCCUACUUCCAGGAAAAGCCUCUAAGCUUCAGUUUAUAUCGAAUCGUACCCUAAACCGACACAGGUGGUCAGGUAGAGAAUACUAAGGCGCUUGAGAGAACUCGGGUGAAGGAACUAGGCAAAAUUGUACCGUAACUUCGGGAGAAGGUACGCUCUUGUUUGUGAAGGACUUGCUCCAUAAGCAGACGAGAGCCGCAGUGACCAGGUGGCUGGGACUGUUUAUUAAAAACACAGCACUGUGCAAAAUCGUAAGAUGACGUAUACGGUGUGACACCUGCCCGGUGCCGGAAGGUUAAUUGAUGGGGUUAGACUUAGGUCGAAGCUCUUGAUCGAAGCCCCGGUAAACGGCGGCCGUAACUAUAACGGUCCUAAGGUAGCGAAAUUCCUUGUCGGGUAAGUUCCGACCUGCACGAAUGGUGUAACCAUGGCCACGCUGUCUCCACCCGAGACUCAGUGAAAUUGAAAUCGCAGUGAAGAUGCUGUGUACCCGCGGCUAGACGGAAAGACCCCGUGAACCUUUACUACAGCUUGGCACUGAACAUUGACCCUACAUGUGUAGGAUAGGUGGGAGGCUUUGAAGCACAGUCGCUAGAUUGUGUGGAGCCG
This 2141-nucleotide ribosomal RNA is filed under the name Pseudoalteromonas luteoviolacea. RNAcentral describes it as "partial 23S ribosomal RNA". It matches the Rfam family "Bacterial large subunit ribosomal RNA", at positions 1 to 2188 of the family's 2925-position model. The record is from RNAcentral. Lineage: Bacteria; Pseudomonadati; Pseudomonadota; Gammaproteobacteria; Alteromonadales; Pseudoalteromonadaceae.